CACUGACGUCGCGACGCAUAUCAAUAAGCGGAGGAAAAGAAACUAACAAGGAUUCCCUUAGUAACGGCGAGUGAAGCGGGAAGAGCUCAAAUUUGAAAUCUUCAAGGUUCUACCUUGACGAAUUGUAGUUUAAAGAAGUGUUUUCUGUUAGUGGAGUGGCAAAAGUUCUUUGGAAUAGGACAUCAUAGAGGGUGAGAAUCCCGUAUUUGGUCAUUCCUUCUAGCUUUGUGAUACACUUUCAAAGAGUCGGAUUGUUUGGGAAUGCAGUCCAAAAUGGGUGGUAAAUUUCAUCUAAAGCUAAAUAUUGGCGAGAGACGGAUAGUGAACAAGUACCGUGAGGGAAAGAUGAAAAGAACUUUGAAAAGAGAGUUAAACAGUACGUGAAAUUGUCAAAAGGGAAGCGUUUGACACCAGUGUUGUUUUUCCGAAAAUCAAUUACGAAUGGCUUGAUUUUGUGUUGUAUUGACCUUAUCAGCUUUCUGCACUUUUUUCGAGUCUUUCUUAAUGCACUUUUCGGUUAACAAGUCAACAUCAAUUUCUUUUGUUGUAAAAGAGUAUUCGGAAGGUGGCUUUCUUUUCGGAGGAAGUGUUUAUAGCCCUAUACUUCUACAAUCGGAGAGAUUGAGGUCUGCAGCGUAGAUCCUUCGGGGUUAGAUACACUUGUGCUAAGUUAUAGCCUUUCAUAGACAACUUGUUGACUAUGAUCAGUCAUGUAGCUUACUCGCUUAUGCUAUUUUACCUACGCUUAGGAUGUUGAGUCGUAGAGCACGCAG
This 773-nucleotide ribosomal RNA is filed under the name uncultured Neocallimastigales. RNAcentral's name for it is "partial large subunit ribosomal RNA". It matches the Rfam family "Eukaryotic large subunit ribosomal RNA", at positions 26 to 631 of the family's 3401-position model. Lineage: Eukaryota; Fungi; Neocallimastigomycota; Neocallimastigomycetes; Neocallimastigales. The record is from RNAcentral.